RNAcentral lists this ribosomal RNA (484 nucleotides) under uncultured bacterium. Its description in RNAcentral is "partial 16S ribosomal RNA". It matches the Rfam family "Bacterial small subunit ribosomal RNA", at positions 30 to 507 of the family's 1533-position model. The record is from RNAcentral.
AUUGAACGCUGGCGGCAGGCCUAACACAUGCAAGUCGAGCGGAUGAAGGGAGCUUGCUCCUGGAUUCAGCGGCGGACGGGUGAGUAAUGCCUAGGAAUCUGCCUGGUAGUGGGGGAUAACGUCCGGAAACGGGCGCUAAUACCGCAUACGUCCUGAGGGAGAAAGUGGGGGAUCUUCGGACCUCACGCUAUCAGAUGAGCCUAGGUCGGAUUAGCUAGUUGGUGGGGUAAAGGCCUACCAAGGCGACGAUCCGUAACUGGUCUGAGAGGAUGAUCAGUCACACGGGAACUGAGACACGGUCCAGACUCCUACGGGAGGCAGCAGUGGGGAAUAUUGGACAAUGGGCGAAAGCGUGAUCCAGCCAUGCCGCGUGUGUGAAGAAGGUCUGCGGAUUGUAAAGCACUUUAAGUUGGGAGGAAAGGCAGUAAGUGAAUACCUUGCUGUGUUGACGUUACCAACAGAAUAAGCACCGGCUAACUUCGUG